UGGCUCAGAGGUUAAAGCGUCUGCCUCCAAUGCAGGAGACCCGGGUUCGAUUCCUGG
This 57-nucleotide transfer RNA is filed under the name Ovis aries (sheep). It matches the Rfam family "tRNA", at positions 8 to 63 of the family's 71-position model. Rfam says of the family: Transfer RNA (tRNA) molecules are approximately 80 nucleotides in length. Lineage: Eukaryota; Metazoa; Chordata; Mammalia; Artiodactyla; Bovidae. The record is from Rfam by way of RNAcentral.